Molecule: small nuclear RNA, 23 nt
Filed under: Arabidopsis thaliana (thale cress)
Lineage: Eukaryota; Viridiplantae; Streptophyta; Magnoliopsida; Brassicales; Brassicaceae
Description: snRNA_18779
Source: RNAcentral
AAUUACAAAGGUUGGAAAAAUGC